Molecule: transfer RNA, 77 nt
Filed under: Gemmatimonadota bacterium
Lineage: Bacteria; Pseudomonadati; Gemmatimonadota
Also listed under: 1 other name
Description: Gemmatimonadetes bacterium (marine sediment metagenome) tRNA-OTHER
Source: RNAcentral
GGCGUGGGUGGGGAACCGGGCACACCACGCCGACGUCGGGGGCGAGGCGCCGGGUUCGAUGCCGGCCCACGCCACCA